CAAUUUUACCGUAAGAACGACGUGAGUGAUUGUUAUGCUGACCGCAGUUAUGUCGUCAAGCUGAAAGCCAGGAGACUUUGUCCACCCUUCUCAUCAGACUUGUUUGAUUGGCAAUGCGAUUUCGUUGAGCUAAUCACCGUGUAGUCGGCGAUGGCGAUGAAAUCAGGCUGGCCAUUUGCA
Long non-coding RNA from Daphnia pulicaria, 180 nucleotides. RefSeq lists it as uncharacterized. NCBI's taxonomy places the organism in Eukaryota, Metazoa, Arthropoda, Branchiopoda, Diplostraca, Daphniidae. The transcript is spliced from 3 exons. The record is from RefSeq and is a predicted model, not a curated record.